AACGAACGCUGGCGGCAGGCUUAACACAUGCAAGUCGAACGCCCCGCAAGGGGAGUGGCAGACGGGUGAGUAACGCGUGGGAACGUACCUUUCGCUUCGGAAUAUUCCCGGGAAACUGGGAGCAAUGCCGAAUACGCCGUAUUGGGAAAGAUUUAUCGGCGAAAGGACGGCCCGCGUUAGAUUAGGUAGUUGGCGGUGUAAUGGACCACCAAGCCUACGAUCUAUAGCUGGUCUGAGAGGAUGAUCAGCCACACUGGGACUGAGACACGGCCCAGACUCCUACGGGAGGCAGCAGUGGGGAAUCUUGGACAAUGGGCGCAAGCCUGAUCCAGCCAUGCCGCGUGAGUGAAGAAGGCCUAGGGUUGUAAAACUCUUUCGCCGGUGAAGAUAAUGACGGUAACCGGAGAAGAAGCCCCGGCUAACUUCGUGCCAGCAGCCGCCGUAA
This 445-nucleotide ribosomal RNA is filed under the name uncultured bacterium. RNAcentral's name for it is "partial 16S ribosomal RNA". It matches the Rfam family "Bacterial small subunit ribosomal RNA", at positions 29 to 523 of the family's 1533-position model. The record is from RNAcentral.